Molecule: ribosomal RNA, 586 nt
Filed under: Meloidogyne sp. Viljoenskroon
Lineage: Eukaryota; Metazoa; Nematoda; Chromadorea; Rhabditida; Meloidogynidae
Description: eukaryotic LSU rRNA
Rfam family: Eukaryotic large subunit ribosomal RNA
Source: RNAcentral
GCAUAAUUUUUUGUGAUGCAUUUACUUGAUUGGUGCUUGGGGAUGUUUGAGGCAGAUUUGUUUCCGCCGUUUUGAGGCCAGCUUGCUGGUACCCAAACGGUGUUAGCAUUUUUUGUCUUGGACAUUUGAGUAUGGCUCACGUGUAUUUAUUGGACMGAUCUGAGUGUAAGUUACGGUCGCAUGCGACACGUGCUUUUCAAUUAGUUCGGUCCAGUUAAUGCUCUCGUACUCGUUCCCCAUGUAAAAGCCGGUCAUCUAUCCGACCCGUCUUGAAACACGGACCAAGGAGUUUAUCGUGUGCGCAAGUUUUUGGGUGUUAAAAACUUAAAAGCGAAAUGAAAGUAAAUGACUCUUUAGAGUCUGAUGUGCGAUCUUGUAAAAAAGUGUAGCAUGGCCCCAUUCUAACUGUUUACAGUAGGGUGGCGGAAGAGCGUACGCGGUGAGACCCGAAAGAUGGUGAACUAUUCCUGAGCAGGACGAAGCCAGAGGAAACUCUGGUGGAAGUCCGAAGCGGUUCUGACGUGCAAAUCGAUCGUCUGACUUGGGUAUAGGGGCGAAAGACUAAUCGAACCAUCUAGUAGCUGAU